This is a long non-coding RNA of Bactrocera dorsalis (oriental fruit fly), 3202 nucleotides long. RefSeq lists it as uncharacterized. The record is from RefSeq and is a predicted model, not a curated record. The transcript is spliced from 3 exons. Lineage: Eukaryota; Metazoa; Arthropoda; Insecta; Diptera; Tephritidae.
AAAUUCUUUCUAUUUAUGGUCCGGAGAAUAUAAAACUCACUAAUACGUAGCAGCAAAAUAGCUUGGUAAGUUUGCAUAGUUCUCUAGGAUCAGAAAGAAAAGACAAAGUAGGCAUCAAGUACACAAAGUAUUAACGGAUUAAUGACGCAGCCUUAGGUAAGAGAACGGCAACAGGUGAAGCAUUUUGGGGAAAGGUCCUAGUUGAUUAGCCUUUUAAAAUAAACGUUCUGAAGUUAAUCUAAAUCGGACAGAGUGCUCUACUAACAAAGCUAGAGAGAAAUUGGUCGAAAUCCUUUUUAUCCUCAGACUAAUAUCGUAGUCUGAGGAUCGAAAUGAUUUUGAUCCAGUAUCAACUAUAUAAUAGUUCUACACCUAAAAACAAUCGUCACUAGUAACAAUAAUCAUUAUUACUGUACGCUGCUACCACAUAUUUACAUAUCGAAGCGGUAUUAUAUAAACAUUGGAUUCCAAGUGGAACGCAUGCGAGAGGAUAAUGCGCAUUACGUGCCUGCGCAAUGUCCAAAAUGGGGGUGGUUGGGCGCUCAAUCGUAUUGCAACAAUUCACGCGACCUUUUAUUUGCCAGUAGUCGUCGCUACCAAAGGAGACUUCAAAGUCAAAUUUUUUGUACGCAGUUAACAGUUAGUUGUCGCCAAAAACCCAAACACAAUUGAGAGAAAAAAACACACAAAAAUAUUACAUUUACGAUAAAAUACGAUUAAACUUGUACUUCCAAUAUUUGUAAUAAAUAUACAUAUAAACUAAAACGAACUCUGAUUCCUAAUAAAUUUAGUGAUUAUAAAAAUUCUUGUGUAAGUUUUCAAUUCUUACGAAUCCAUGAAAUCUUUAGCAGCAGAGGCAGCAGCUCGGUUGUGAAAAGGAAACGAAUCACCACGCAAACUAAAGUCGUGUAUGAGGAAAAACUGCCGCUGUGUCACUUCGGACUUUAUCGAAUUUUCCUAAAGUUGAGCGUAAGUAAAGUUUCAUGUAUUGAGCUAUGUAUGCAUGUAUGUACAUUCGGAGUUAUGUACAUCAGUACACAUGUAUGUGUGUAUAUAAAACGUAAUAGGUGUAAUUAUUUGUGAAAUUGCUUUCAAUAAUCACGAAAAGGUAAAGCCGACAACAGUGGUCAAAAAUAAUUUUUUUUUUUUCAUCAUACUUUAUGAUAAAUACUUAAAUCAGGAGCCUGAAUUAAAGAACCCAAUUAAAUUACGGCGUUUAAGUGUAAUAUCCGCAGUACUGGAAGCUAUUGUUGAUCUCUUUCCUUGGACAUUCUACUCUUUAAACUCUUAAAGGUGUUGGUAUACUAGGAAAUACGCCUAGAAACGAGGUAAAUGAAAAUUAGCUGCGCUUAAAGAUCAAUAUACAUAUGUACAUACUUACAUACAUACAUAUUUAUGUAUUACACUUCAAGUUUUCAUAUUCCAUAGUGAAACGAGCACCACGCUAGUGCCUCUUUCAGGUUGUAUUUCCUUAAAGCAAAAAACAAAAAAGUGCAUGUGGAACAUUGGCAACAAAUAAAAAAUUUAGAAAUUAAUUUUUAGUCCCAAAAUCAGAAUUAAGGAGGGACUAAGUUCGAGUGUAGAUGAAUAUUUUAUACUCUCGCAACUUACAAGGAUUAAAGCCGGUGAAAUACCUUCAGAUGUUGUAAACCUUUAAUUAAAAACUGUUGCAAACAAUUCAACAUGCACUAUUCGAGAAACAGAAUGCAUUAAAAUAAAAUUUUCUAUUUUAUUAACAUAAACGAGUAGCAUAGGUUAUAGGCUCACUUGGUGUCAUUACUACGUUUUGCAUGUGCGAAAUAAUAAUAUUAAGCUCAACCAUUAAGGCAUCGAUUGCCUUAUACUGCUGUAAAGGAGUCUUUGGCAAGUGGUCUUUUGGCUUUACGACACCAGUAAAGCCCAUUAUGUUUUAUGGAGUCUUUAGGUGGUGCAGGGCUCUAUAAAAGACCACACUUGCAAAGAAACUCGAGAGCAUUCAACGGGUGGCGCUAAUCAGCACUUGUAGUUCACUUCAGGCAUGGUACUUAAAGCCCUCUUGCACAUAGUGCCCGUAAACAUUGUCGGAAGGAGUAUAGCUGCAAAAGUUGCUAUCCAACUCAGAGAAUCUGGGUUCUUAAAAGAAUACGUAUCUGAACACUCGCAUAUCCUCACACACUUUGACUUCAUACCCGGAACACUUGGAUCAUGUGGUCGCCAAGACGGCUCAUUCUCUACACUUAUACCGACGAAAGAGUUGUUGGUGGGAAUGAACCGUUGAAAGAUAGGGGCAGUGAGCUUCUUUAAAUCUUGGGGGGAAGGUUAGUGGAUAUGUUUACUGUUAGGAACCCUUAUCAACUCCAGCUUCAGACUUCCAUCAAUAGCAUCGAGUGUCUUUGUGAUAAGGCUGGGUCAUUGCGGAAUUGCAGGAAAUUGCAAAACUGAUGAGCUAGCAAGGUAAGGUACCCUAGAACCGCUAUCGGUAGAAUGGGAGCGGGUCAGUGCUCCCAUAUCCUCUUGAGUUCUACUACUAGAUAGCCGAGAUUCGCGGAAACUUGGCCGCCGUUGGGCCACCAUCGGUACAUGCGCUUUCGCAAAAGGCUUUUGACCCGAUGCUAUUGAUGGCGAGGUUAGGCACUCCUCGACGAACCCUAAACGCACUGUUAAUGAGUUCAAGGCUAGUACACAUUUUUGCCACAAGCCCAUGCUAUCAUUAUAAAAAUAUUUUCCCCGAACUUCAAUACGAAACCUCACAGAUUGACGUUUUUUGUAGCCCUAGUGAUUUUUUUCCAGAAGCUAAAAGAAAAUUUCACUCAAAGACGAGGUCAAGAACGGUAACAAACGAUUGCUUUGAAGAGUUCGAACCUGCACGCCAUCGAACCCAUAUUGAAAUUACAGUGAAGUUACAGCCAAUGUACUGCUCUUGUUGAAGAUUAUGCCGAAGAAUAAAGCCAUAUUUUCAUGCAAAAAACGUUCUUUCAUUAUUAGACUAAAGAUCUUUCAGUCCAUGUAAUACAUAUUAUAUACAUACAUACGUACUUCAAAUAAAUUUUUAUCCAAUGGAUUUGUGUGAUAUUAAUAAAGCAAACUAAAACUGGUUUCAACCAACUUCCUGAUAAUGAAGUACACUAGUUCUAACAGAAAUUUGGAUUUAUGCCUGUGCAAAAUCAAAAUACCAACUACUAGUAACUUGGUUCAAUAGCAGUAUAUGAGUCAUUAUGGAAUA